UCAGCAUCAUAAUCUGUAUGAAAAUGUAAUUUACAUUCAAAACAACCGCACACGCAGUGCCAUCCCGUUUUAAUUAAUAUUUAUAUUUACAACCAUCUCCAUCGUCGUUUGAGGGUAGAAUGUGCGGAGUGUAUGUAUAGUACAUCCCGGAAACACUUUGGAUGUCAACCCAAUUUGUGACAACCUCAGCAGCGUGUAAAAGGAAAUGGGAGUGGGGAGAGGGUUAGACUAGCAAUACCCCUUGGUGAGCGGUGGAAAUACAACAAACGUUUACUGCGAUGACUCCCGUGGCUAGUGUGUGUGUGUGUGUGCGCGGAUAUCAGCGACGCCUACUAAGCAAUUCAAAACGAGCCAGAAGCGUAGUUCAAAUUUCACUACGUGCUGCUACGUUGUGCUGGGAAGGUUUGACCGGAGUGAAAUGGACAGGUUUAUCGUAAUUUUGGGACUCAUGCCAGCUGAACGGACAACAACAACAAUUCUUCAGUGCUUGCAGUCGUGCGGCAAUAACAACCAUCGCAUUGGAAAUUGAAAAUCGGCAGUACACGGAAACAUGCAACCCUAGGGUGAGGAUGGGCACGGCCGUUUUAAUUAAAGCAUCGAGCGAAAAUUUAUAGAAUCGUGAGAGAAGUAACGCAAAGUACCGGUACCGCCGAAACGUGGCCAUACAACUCGGUAACCUACUUCCAAGGGUUUGGGAUGGGGGCGCAUAGUCAACACGCUACCGACACACGUACCUCUGGAAUAUCAAGUGCACGGGGUUGCUUUGUGGAAGAGAAGUGGGAAACAUAAAAAUCAAAGCAAUGGGCAGCAAUGGAAAAGAGUCGGAAAGGAACAAGCGCUUGUAGAUAGUAUUUCUAUCAAAUGAAAAUCUGUCCCCAGACAGUGUCCCGCCACACACUUUCCAUUCACCGUCCCUCAGGGAACACAGGAGAGUGUUUGGCGUACAAGGUGAGAGAAUGCAAAAAUUAAAAAAGGGCAAAACAAGACGCGGAAGAAAACUCAAGGCAAAAUUAAAUCAACACUUUACGAUCCCCGGGCAACGGCGGUUGUCAUCGAGCGUCGCGCUCGUAAUGUUGCCGGGCGUCACGAGCUGCAAAACGGAAAACGUGCUGGAAGUAUAAAUCUUUAUUGCAAUCACAACGACCCCACCGGGGACGGCCGGACACCUGGGUGAUACCGAGAGACAGGUCCUGCUGGUGGACAGGUGAAAGAUGAGGCAGAGGGAGAUGGGAACGUGUAUCGCUCAAGCGUCGCUCGUACCGGUGGAAGCUUGCAAGUCAUCGUUCGUUCAUCCAUUUGAAGGAGGAGCACCAUAAAUUUGUAUCCGAUUUUGCGUUUACUGAUUUAAUUUCCUGAAAUCCCAUUUUCGCGUGAAGGGUUUAAGAGUGGUUACAAAAUCGGUAUGAAAAAUUGCUCCUUCCAUUGCAGCAACACAAGCAAAAACGUGCCACAAUCAAAUGGGUAAAUUUUCCCAUUUAUUUCUUUGUUGGUGUCUAAACUAUCUCUGCGAUUGAAUUAUUGACCGCCAGCAUGUGGAUGAUACGCUACAUGGCACUGCUCAUCAUCAUUGCACACGGGGGAUUUCACUCUCUGGAGGAAAUUCGUUCCACGGUAGCGGACUGGGGACAAUAAACUAAACUAUAACACCCACCCGCCCUUAUCUGACACCGGAUGAAAGGUGCCUGACCACUGGCCACUAACCGGUGUUGCUGACAUUUCAUCGACUGGGCACCCACUUGACGUUGGCGGCCAACGGUGCGUAGAUAUACACGACCCAUUGCCCAUGUGUUUCGAUAUCCGGCUGGUGGUUCGCCUGGCUGGUGGGGGAAAUAUAUGACCAUUCACCACAUUCCGAGUUGGGGUGUUGGUGCUUUUUUGUAUGUGGGUCCAGCCCUUUUCCGGUUUCUACUCGCAUCCGGAACGGAAGUGAUCUUUUUCUGAGGUCGAAAAAAUAGCAAAUGGACAUGUGGGCGUAUGUUUAGCUUUCGAGAGCAUCCAGCACCCAUUCCGCCCCUUUCUUGCCUUUCUUAUCAAGUCCAUGUCAACCGGAGCCACCGAAAGCAAUAACUUCGCGAGCGGAAAGCCAUCCCAGUUUCCAACUUUAGCAACAGUGAUAAAUUACAACUCUUUUUCGCCGGCCGGAAGUUGGGGAAGGACUUCCCAGUCGUGGUGGGCUCGCGCUAUGUUUUACGUUAAAUUAAUUUUAACUGAAAACUUUUCUCUUACAAAACAAAAAAUGGUGGGCGGUAGUGGUUCCCCUCUAUGUGUGUUUGGGCGUGUGUGUGUGUGUCGGUCAUGUGUAGAAAUGUGGGUUUAGACUAAACUGAAGGGCGCAACAAAAAAAAAAAAAACAAAGAAAACAGAACUAAGGCUAAAAUACAACACUACAACCUCAAAGCCUCGGGAUAGUGGGCACAGUCGCUGCGGUUUUAAUAUGUAACGGCCAAAGUGUGGCCUUCGUUUCGUUCCUGUGGGUUGGAUGCGCUACCGAUGCUCGUUUCGUUUUGGUGAACCGCGUUUCCACGGGCCACCACGGCAUGGAGCAUCUGGCAUGUGUACCAUAAUUUUAUAUGCGCCAUCUCUAUUGUCUCGGUCCGGGCGGGUUUUCGUGUCCUUUUUGCCCCGGGACCGUUGGUAUAGGAAGUGGGUUGUGUAUCGCGCUCGUUUUGUUGCUCUUUUUUUGCUAAUGCGUAUGUGUGUGUGUGUGUGUGUUUGUGCAAUGUAUGUGGUUUAUAGUAAUAAAAGUUUUGUGUGUAUUUUUCGCUCCACUCGGUUUGGAAUUAGUGAAGCACUGGGCGGCCGCUGACGUUACGACAUUUCUAGUUUAGGGAGGGGUGGGUUCUAUUUCACUGUACACGUGCAGAAAGGUAAAAAAAACACUCUUAGCAACACUCGCUCGUUACUAUAGUGACGCUUUUUCGCGUAUAGCGGAUGUUAAAAUGUUCGCAAAGAAAAAACAAACCUGCUGUCGCUCGUAUGAGCUGGAUCCUUUUUAGGGUUUGGACGAAGAAACAGAAGCGCCCCAAAAGCCAGUCCCUGUCCAGUGUAUGUGGGUGUACGUGUACGUGUGCGUGUGUGUGUGAUUAACAAUCGCCAUUGCCAUCGAAACUGGGAGUGAAAAAAAAUAGCGACGGUCCCGCUAAAUGAUAAACGAAGAGGAACGAAGCAAUGGCGAUCCGGAUUGUACCACAGUGUGCCGGAAUGUGCGGUGGCGUUCUUUAUGUCACGCGAAAUGAGCAAAAGAUACCCGUGCAAAGAGUAGGAGCAGUGGCAGCACCAGCAAUCGUCCACGAGAGAGAUCUAAGCUUGGGGACACUUUUUGGAGCGUACUCUGGCUGAAUGGUGCUUUAUGACGCUGACAACUUCUGAUCGAACGCAGGGACAGACGGAGCAAAGGUUCGUGGAAAAUGGUUCGUCAUAAGGAAGACCGAUCGAAACUUUUCCACCUGCAGCAAUAUCAACAUCCAGCGGAGAGGCUAAAGCGCAUCACGUGCUUAGCUCGGAUCAAGCUUGGUUACGGAUUCGGAGCAGUUUAUCACUUUACACGCAAACCUUGAAGGCCACAGCAAGAAAAAGAACAAAAGGAACAAGAAAAAAGUAUGUUUUAAUAAGCAAGAAAGAAAAAAGAAAGACCCAGAGUUUGCAAAACAGCUUCGGCAACCUUAAAAACUCAUCCGUGCGCAAGGAGGAAAUGUUUGUUAUAAAGCACUCCCGGCCGAUUAAGAUCAGUACCGACUGAGUGUGCUUGCAGUUCUUGCACGGAUGCGAUGGUGGUUGUCUAUGUAGGAAGUGGAAACUUUUAACUCCGAACCAUCACACCCCAAACCCGCAGUGUACGACGGGAUGGUUGGUUCGCGUCCGAACCACUGUAACGCGCAUCCGGAAGGUUCGGUGCGCGUGUUCUCCGGGCUUUUAACGACACGAAAAGUGCCAAAGUUUGAGCUGCGUUUCCAAGUUCGUGUCCGGCGCCCGCGCGCUCGAGCUGUGUAUGUGUUACUAUGCGAGUCCAUAAAGUUCCGCGUCCGCGGAUGCACCAUGCGCUCGGGCAAAGGCUGUGUGAUGGAUGAAGAGACGGUACCGCUCCCCAACUACCCCAGUACAGUGCGCGGCGAAUGAUUCUUUGCGAGGUGUUUUGCAUUGGCCAAAAAACGAAAAAAAGCAAACAAAAAAAAGUUGCAGGAAACAUCUGCCAAACGCGUGUGGUUGAACAGUGUAAUAUGGCCCGCUGGGCAUUCGGAGAAGUUCAUUAGCGUAAUGUAGUGGAAGUGUUUGGAAAUCUGUGAGUGUGUGUGUACCAUUAAGACAUGCGGCGGACGGAACGCAACACGUAUUUCUAUCCACCAGGAACCGGUAAGGGGAGGACGGAUUUUGGAGUACCUCAGGGGCUUUGGUCGUUAGUAAAAGAGCAGUGAUUUAGCGCGUAGUGGGAUAAGAAGGGCAGACCAUGGGGCCGGGGCACACAUCGGCAAAGUACAAAAUCGUGUUACAUUGCAUCACAUAAUGAUGAUCUAUCCUGUGUGUGUGUGUGUGUGUUUUGUUAGGUUUUGUGCUGUACGGUAUGAAUUGUACGAUCAACCGGUCAGAGGACUACGUUUUGAUGGAUGCAGCCACAACACUGUUGGAAAAAUUGUGCUCUUUUCCGAACAUGAUACUGAAAAUUGGUCCGUUACCAGAUGUACACCAUAAAACCCGCUACGGGUUUGUGGGCCUAUACUGAAGAGGAGAACAGGAGCAACACUAUUUGCAGCACAAUGAGUUAGAUCGAUGGUAAAAUGUGAGCCAUUACAACAAUUGGCAUUCAAUGUUGUUGUGCAUUGCCGAUUGGAAUAAUUCGCUUCUUUCUUUUUUAAAGCAGAAUUCGCAUAUGAUAACAAUGUCCAUUCUCUUCCCACAAGGUGCGCACAACAGCGCACAAAUCGGAGCACGGGAUGCGACCUUUGUUUCCGACCGGAUCAUUCCGCCCUACUCGCAGCAACGGAAUGGGGAUACGGACACGGUGAAUGAAUUGACGUAAUUUAUAUAGCUUGUUGGCUAUCAAUUUUCCAAUGAUUUAUGAUUCACACAAAUACCACUGUCACUGCCGGCAACAGGACAACAUCCCUCCCUUCUCCGUCCCUUUUCCACCACACGCGUCGGAAUGCUAUUUGGCACUCGGAAAAACGGAUCGUGUGCGUACGAUGGAAAAGCCCUGACGUAGGCGGAAGACGGUCGAAAUGUUAGCGACAAGCAUUGUGCAUGCAUGUGCGUGUGUGCUUAUAGUGAUAAUAAAUUACUCACGCUAUUAAAAGUGUUCGUCAGUCCGGCUGGUUUGGUACUUAUAAAUUCACGCACCACAAUGGUAAAAUGCCAACCGUCGGUUUAAUUGGUACAGCGUUUUAGACGCUUGGCGAAGAAUGUAAAUAGGACCAGGGUACGUUUUUACCGAACUAUUGAUUUGUUUUUUUUUGCGCUCCACCGGGAACGGCAUCAAGUACACAUUGCUUUUGUUUCUCUGACCUUGUUUUAGUGCACUGGCUUCUGGCUGACGGAUUUUGGGACGCUCUGCAAAGGCUCUGGUAUCGAUUGUUGGCGAAAACGGACUGGUCUCCUCGUGUGUGUCACGCGAAACAAAGCGGCGAAACAGAUGGCAAACAGAUUGUUUCCACUUAUUUCCGGCCCAUAAACUCGAACCGCGCUGGAUCUGGUGUGUGCUCCCUUUGUGUACACUGAGGAGAGCUGCCUCACUCCCCCAAAACAUGCAGACGCGAAACCUGGGCCCCAGUGUAACACAUUGGAUUUAAGGGGCGAAAUUGUAGGCAGCCGGCGAAAAACACCCUGCCGCCCUUUCUUGCCUCCUUACAAGAGAAGACGAGGCUUGAGCAGAAUCGCUUUGAAGCCCGCUGGUUUCUUACUUCCACCCUCCCCCCAACAAACCGUCAUGCCGUCGUGCCCUGGAAAUGGUACGUUGCCAAGGUCGGAGCAGGAGCAGGACCCGCGGUUGGUGCAACCGGUGCUCUGUGUAGUACGUGCGGCAGUUGGAAAACAAAUCGCCCAGUAGGAGUGGGUGGAAUGUGACCCGCGCAAAUCACUCAUCCGGCAAUUUCUACAGCAUUAUUAUUAUACUCGAUGGAUCAUCAUUAGCAAAAAGGCUGUGCAACGAAUCGAUCUUUAUACACUUGCACAGUUGCAUCGCAUCAAACUGAUUUGGUGAAGUGGGGAAGCAAACGUUGCCCAGAGCCAAGCCGUGGGAUGCUGUUAGAUGAUGGAAUGAUGCAUCCAAACCUACGCCGUGCUCUCCAUCGCUCCCAGUUGUCAUCCCCAAAUCGAAAUGUAAUUAGUGCAGAAAUUCGUCCGUACACUUUCAGCCGUAAGGUCUCUCCUUUCCGGUUUGCCGCUGGGCAGUCAAAGUCGAGCUGCGACGAGCCGAACCGAUGCCGACCCGCUGGCGAAUGUGUCCGAGAUAAUUAGAUAUUUAUCAUCAAUCACAUCGAAAUUAUGCAGUACAAACAGGCGAGUAGGAAUUAGUAAUUAUCGUUUACGGGUGUAUAGACGUUCGAUUCUAGUUUGCUCUAGAAUUGCCCCCUCCCCUCUCUGCGUGUCCCGCCAUUCAGCUGAUAUUAUUCACGGCCGAGUGUUUCAAAAACGGCACCACACACUCGGUGGUGCUCGUUUCGGUGUGUGUAUGUGGGCUGAUAGUAUCGAUGGAUUUAGGUUAUACCGUCGGUGAUUGUGUGUGCGGUCGUAUCAUGCUGAACUUUAUGCUAAAAUCGAUACAAAAGCAAACGGCUUGAGAUGCAAUCGGGCGAGAGAAAUGGUCCAGCGCAUUGGUUUGGAUCCCAUUUUAUGGGACCAGACAGGGAACCAUUAUCUAUGUGCUAUCUGUACGUGAAUCUGUGUGUGAGUGUGUGUAUGUGUGUGUGUGUGUGUGUGUAUAAGAAAAGGAGCUUUAUGAGAAAUAGGGAACAGCGCUUCCUACAGCUUCCUCGGUUUCAUAGGAAAAGGCAAGCUUUCGUCGUAGCAGCCGAUUGUUGUUUCCAGGGCCACAUUCAUAGCCGUGUGGCUCCGCCGGGCAGUAUCCAGUGCUGCCGGUCGGUGUGGUGGGCAGGUGCCCAGUGUUUACAAUCCAGCUCAACACAUCAAACGACACCCUCUGACGUCGUGAUUUAUUGUGCCCGAUGAAUGAUGGGCUUGCUGUACGGGCGAUGAAUAGGGAACGGCACAGGGGAUGGUUCCUCACUUAUCAACGCCAACGCUGGCAUAGAUACCGGGCGAGCGAGAGAGAGAGAGAGAGAGAGAAACGGGCAAGAGGCAUCUGAUGUGUCGGAAUGGUGAUGACAUAGCGUAAGCCCGGCAGCAAUGCACAACCUUGGUACGAACGGUGAUGGUGAAUGCCGCCGAGGCCGAGGUGUGCUUUAUGGAAAACCGAAAGUGCUUCUCCAACCUGUAUUUAUGAGCCAGAGCACCAGAAAAGCACUCCAGUCCAAUGGGGCGGAUGCUUUGUGGCAGGUUUGUGAGAGCGAUUUAUGAAAAUGUACAAAUACACUGCCUUGCAGAGGUUUCAGGACCUCCUCGACUAAAGUGCCGAAGCGAGACACAGCAAACGCCGAGCUUGCCUGAUAGAUGGAUGACUACGGAGCAGGACUGGCAGCAGGAAUGGGGGCGUCAGACAGGGAAGCAGAACAAUUUAAUGCAAAACAUGCAACAGCAUCCUUCUGCAGCGCCACCGGAGGAUAGGAAUGGUGUGCAAGCGCUGCGGGUGGAUUUAAACCGAAGCUUAGGCGGAUUGUUCACAGCGAGGGCGCAUUCAAAACACACAAAUAAAAACGACCUCGUCCCUACCACGGACCCAGCACAGAGUUGCAGUGUACUGACACACCCACUCACACACACAGACGACUGUUGCAUAAGUUGCAGAGGCUGCAAAUUGCCGAAACGGGGUCGGCAAACUAAUUGCAAACAGUGGCAAGUGCCAAACUUUCCAGCCCCUCUAGAAAGCCACCAACGGGCUGGGGAUGGUAAAUGGGAGCGGAAAUUAAAUUCAAUGUUAGUUCUCGCAAGAGUGUAAUUAAAAUGAUAACGCCGAUGGGUGCACCUGCCGGGGUGUAUGUGGUGGGGUUGGAGCAGCGACUCUCCGAGAUCUGCUGAGACGCAGCACAGCGAAUGCGUUGCAAAAAGUUGGCGCAGCCCAUGCAACCGGAAAUGAACGAUGUGGUUUGGGGAGGGAACGAAGAUGUUCUUUCAGCAGUUCCUUGCCUUCUCCCGUUGUGGCGGAUGGCGUAACGACCAAGGGAAGCGUGGAGGGCGUGAAAGCUGCGCUCGCGCUCUCGUGUGCACGCUCGUUUUGGGGCGCGUUAAUUAGACACUUAACCCCAAAAAUCCGUCCUAUGCUGACGCGCGCUAUCUAGUAUAAUGAGGUAAAUUUUUGGCCCCAUCAAGACAGCCCCAGCAGGCGGCUUGAGCAGCGAUGAAAAGUGGUGAUUGUAGCGACGGUAGUAAAACUUCGGUGCCCUUCCGAUGCUGUUCCGUGCACUGGGAACGGGGGAAGCUGCACCGGGAGGGAUCUGCUUUUAAGGGCGGAAGCAUAAGAGGAACGACGAGAUUGAGCAAGUUGUAGCGGGUGGAUGGAGAGAGAGUGAAAGAGAGAGAGAGAAAGCCGUUCUUAACGUGAUUUUCGCUGGAAUAGAGGUUAGGAAAAUCGUUCCCUUUUACCGCAGCAAACAAUAUUCUAUGCAAUAUCAUCUACCCUUAACGAAAUUGUUGUGGUAAUUGCACUAGACUGUAGGCGCAUACAUAACACUGACGCUUUGUCGCUGGGUCGUGCAAAAGGGUAGUCGUGAUUGAGCAGCAGUAGCAGCUAAAAACGCACACUGCAAAGGGCCAUUUGCCUUUGGGUGAUACAUUGCUAAAAAGUUUAAUAUAUGUAUGAACAAUCUCGCUACCUUUGCUACGAACAAAAGGGAUGCAAUGUUUCGCAACAAACUUUGUACGAUUUUCUAGCCGAACUGUGCUUAACAUUGCAGUAACUUUGGCAUGUGUUUAAUUUUUUGUGUGGAAAUAAUCAAUGAAACUCAAUGCAUUCAGGUAUGACACUUUCUGGCUAAGCGUAUUUUUAAAGUGAACAUUGUAAAAUAUACAAUUCUUUACAAAUCUUUUAAAAGCAAACAGCCGAACUAACCAUUGCUCGCGAAACAAGAUACAUAAUAGUCAUUAUCGACACGGGUUUUCCGUUUUUACUUUCUUUCCCCUUUAACACAAAUGCAGCCAAACUAAAUCGAGCAACAUAAUUCAAUGGUUCCGCUUCCUAUUUCGCGUCGUACACGGCACGGGUUUUUGCAUGUGCAGAUGCCAAAAAAUAGCAAACAAAACCGAACGAAAAGCUAAACCACCACGUCCAAACAUUA
Anopheles merus is the source of this 9380-nucleotide long non-coding RNA. RefSeq lists it as uncharacterized. The transcript has 8 exons. The record is from RefSeq and is a predicted model, not a curated record. Lineage: Eukaryota; Metazoa; Arthropoda; Insecta; Diptera; Culicidae.